GAUGAACGCUGGCGGCGUGCCUAAUACAUGCCAGUCGAGCGAACGGACGAGAAGCCUGCUUCUCUGAUGUUAGCGGCGGACGGGUGAGUAACACGUGGAUAACCUACCUAUAAGACUGGGAUAACUUCGGGAAACCGGAGCUAAUACCGGAUGAUAUUUUGAACCGCAUGGUUCAAAAGUGAAAGACGGUCUUGCUGUCACUUAUAGAUGUAUCCGCGCUGCAUUAGCUAGUUGGUAAGGUAACGGCUUACCAAGGCAACGAUGCAUAGCCGACCUGAGAGGGUGAUCGGCCACACUGGAACUGAGACACGGUCCAGACUCCUACGGGAGGCAGCAGUAGGGAAGCUUCCGCAAUGGGCGAAAGCCUGACGGAGCAACGCCGCGUGAGUGAUGAAGGUCUUCGGAUCGUAAAACUCUGUUAUUAGGGAAGAACAUAUGUGUAAGUAACUGUGCACAUCUUGACGGUACCUAAUCAGAAAGCCACGGCUAACUACGUG
This 497-nucleotide ribosomal RNA is filed under the name uncultured bacterium. RNAcentral's name for it is "partial 16S ribosomal RNA". It matches the Rfam family "Bacterial small subunit ribosomal RNA", at positions 28 to 507 of the family's 1533-position model. The record is from RNAcentral.